GAAAUGCGAUAAUUAAUGUGAAUUGCAGAAUUCAGUGAAUCAUCUAGUCUUUGAACGCACAUUGCGCCCCCUGGUAUUCCGGGGGGCAUGCCUGUCCGAGCGUCAUUGCUGCCCUCAAGCACGGCUUGUGUGUUGGGCUUCCGUCCCUGGCAACGGGGACGGGCCCAAAAGGCAGUGGCGGCACCAUGUCUGGUCCUCGAGCGUAUGGGGCUUUGUCACCCGCUCCCGUAGGUCCAGCUGGCAGCUAGCCUCGCAACCAAUCUUUUUAACCAGGUUGACCUCGGAUCAGGUAGGGAUACCCGCUGAACUUAAGC
RNAcentral lists this unclassified non-coding RNA (314 nucleotides) under plant metagenome. RNAcentral's name for it is "partial contains 5.8S ribosomal RNA, internal transcribed spacer 2, and large subunit ribosomal RNA". The stretch from base 1 to 105 matches the Rfam family "5.8S ribosomal RNA", at positions 50 to 154 of the family's 154-position model. The record is from RNAcentral.